CCCUUAGAUGUUCUGGGCCGCACGCGCGCUACACUGACGAAUGCAACGAGCUUAUAACCUUGGCCGAAAGGUCUGGGUAAUCUCCAAAUUUCGUCGUGAUGGGGAUAGAUUAUUGCAAUUAUUAAUCUUCAACGAGGAAUGCCUAGUAAGCGCAAGUCAUCAGCUUGCGUUGAUUACGUCCCUGCCCUUUGUACACACCGCCCGUCGCUCCUACCGAUUGAAUGGUCCGGUGAAACGCUCGGACCGCGGCCUCUUGACGGUUUUCCGUCGAUUGGCUGUGGGAAGUUCGUUAAACCUUAUCAUUUAGAGGAAGGAGAAGUCGUAACA
Molecule: ribosomal RNA, 327 nt
Filed under: uncultured eukaryote
Lineage: Eukaryota
Description: partial 18S ribosomal RNA
Rfam family: Eukaryotic small subunit ribosomal RNA
Source: RNAcentral